Molecule: ribosomal RNA, 492 nt
Filed under: uncultured bacterium
Lineage: Bacteria
Description: partial 16S ribosomal RNA
Rfam family: Bacterial small subunit ribosomal RNA
Source: RNAcentral
AGUGAACGCUGGCGGUAGGCCUAACACAUGCAAGUCGAACGGCAGCACAGUAAGAGCUUGCUCUUACGGGUGGCGAGUGGCGGACGGGUGAGGAAUACAUCGGAAUCUACUUUUUCGUGGGGGAUAACGUAGGGAAACUUACGCUAAUACCGCAUACGACCUACGGGUGAAAGCAGGGGAUCUUCGGACCUUGCGCGAUUGAAUGAGCCGAUGUCGGAUUAGCUAGUUGGCGGGGUAAAGGCCCACCAAGGCGACGAUCCGUAGCUGGUCUGAGAGGAUGAUCAGCCACACUGGAACUGAGACACGGUCCAGACUCCUACGGGAGGCAGCAGUGGGGAAUAUUGGACAAUGGGCGCAAGCCUGAUCCAGCCAUACCGCGUGGGUGAAGAAGGCCUGUGGGUUGUAAAGCCCUUUUGUUGGGAAAGAAAAGCAGCAGGUUAAUACCCCGCUGUUCUGACGGUACCCAAAGAAUAAGCACCGGCUAACUUCGUG